Molecule: non-coding RNA, 110 nt
Organism: Prunus persica (peach)
Lineage: Eukaryota; Viridiplantae; Streptophyta; Magnoliopsida; Rosales; Rosaceae
Source: Rfam
UUGGGAGCUCACUGGCUUCAGAGUCAUGGAAACUCUGAAGUUAAGCAAGUUAGGGCUAGAGUACUCCUAGGAUGGGUGACCCAUUGAGAAGUUGCUCGUGAAUUCCCAGA